Molecule: ribosomal RNA, 450 nt
Filed under: uncultured bacterium
Lineage: Bacteria
Description: partial 16S ribosomal RNA
Rfam family: Bacterial small subunit ribosomal RNA
Source: RNAcentral
GUGGGGAAUAUUGGACAAUGGGCGAAAGCCUGAUCCAGCCAUGCCGCGUGUGUGAAGAAGGUCUUCGGAUUGUAAAGCACUUUAAGUUGGGAGGAAGGGCAGUAAGUUAAUACCUUGCUGUUUUGACGUUACCGACAGAAUAAGCACCGGCUAACUUCGUGCCAGCAGUCGCGGUAAUACGAAGGGUGCAAGCGUUAAUCGGAAUUACUGGGCGUAAAGCGCGCGUAGGUGGUUUUGUAAGUUGGAGGUGAAAUCCCCGGGCUCAACCUGGGAACUGCCUCCAAAACUGCAUGACUAGAGUACGGUAGAGGGUAGUGGAAUUUCCUGUGUAGCGGUGAAAUGCGUAGAUAUAGGAAGGAACACCAGUGGCGAAGGCGACUACCUGGACUGAUACUGACACUGAGGUGCGAAAGCGUGGGGAGCAAACAGGAUUAGAUACCCGGGUAGUCC